GUUAGAAGCCACCGCUCCUCAGCACGAAGUGUUGCUUGGCCAACACAGUCUUAGGAAAUAGUGAGCUGGUUACCGGUGGUAGCAGAGACCACAAGUGGUUGCCCCCAGGCCCAUCCUUCCCUUCUUCAUUUAGUAAACACAAAAUCCCAGCUUUUGCCAGCACUCUUUUCACCUCCCUUGCAGCUCCAGGUGAUGAAAUGAGUCAAUUCUUGCUGAGAACAUGUAAGCAGAAUCAAAGUGCUAGGCCGACUCCUUAAAGGAAACGCUUUGUCUUUUUUCCCUUUCCUGCCAGUCAGAAUAUGGGUCCAACAGAGGUGGUGGUGAGUUAUUUGUGAAUAUGCAGACCAGGGCGACCCCCGAGGGGACGAAGGGAUCACUAAGAGAAGCAGCCUUGGUCCCUCCAGAGCAUCCCUCGACUACUCACGCUGGAACCGUCGUGUAAGAGGGAACUGAAUGAACUUUUUGUGUGUAAGCCACUGAAUUUUGGGGAAGGGAGAUGUGCAAAAACCAGUCAUUGUUUUUAUAGAUGACUCUGAUUCUAGUGUUUACUGCACUAAUGUAUUUAUCUACUUCUUUGUUCCCUUCUCUAGAAUAUUUCUUUCUUUCCGAGCUGCUAGCGUAGAGGAGGCAGUCCAUGAGUGUUUGUCAAAGCUGAAAAACCAUCAUGGUGUUACACAAUUUGUACUGUUAUGUCCCAUCUCCCACUUCCAAACGCAAGUCAGAUUCAAGCUGGCUCCAACAGGGACCCGCCAUCAGUCUAGGAAUUAACACCACCAACUAUGGUGGGAGGACUUCAGUCUAAAGCAGAAAGGAGGAUAUGAAAUGGAGAAUCUCAUUCAAGUGCCUCCGAAGAACGGAACUUAAGAACAGAGAGCCUAAUUUCCUGGAAAUGCAAGACACAGCUUUACCUUCUGACCAGGGAACAUCUGCCAGGAGUCUCUCCUCAUCCUCAAGCCAAUGACCUUACUUUUUGAACCCUGGCUGGAUGACCCCAUCUUUGGACUCCUUGCCCAUACAUACAGGUCAUCCCAAAGCCCUCAUCAGAAUCCCCGGGACUUGCAAUAGCAUGUGUUUUCCAAAUUGCAAUUUCUCUGGUUUCUGGUAAUUCAAGCUUGCCUCAGUUUACCUUUUUAUUUAGACUGACACUAAUAAUGUAACUUUGGUCAGGUUAUUUAGUAUCUCUAGGCUACAGUUACCUAAUUUAUAAAAUGAGAAUAACAAUACUACCAAUGUUAGAGAUUGCUGGGAGGAUUAAAUGAGUUAAUACUACUAUCAUCUAAAUAUUGAGAAGUGCUUCAGGAAUAAUUAGCAAAUAGUAAGCAAUCUAAAUAGAUAACUUUUACCCUUUAUCAGUAGAUAUUUUUAAUGGAGCAAUAAAAAGUGAGGGGAGUUGAGAAGUAUGUUCCA
This 1407-nucleotide long non-coding RNA is filed under the name Vulpes vulpes (red fox). Its description in RNAcentral is "lncRNA (ENSVVUG00000015750.1)". The record is from RNAcentral. Lineage: Eukaryota; Metazoa; Chordata; Mammalia; Carnivora; Canidae.